AGUCGAGCGCCCCGCAGGGGAGCGGCAGACGGGUGAGUAACGCGUGGGAAUCUACCCUUGACUACGGAAUAACGCAGGGAAACUUGUGCUAAUACCGUAUGUGUCCUUCGGGAGAAAGAUUUAUCGGUCAAGGAUGAGCCCGCGUUGGAUUAGCUAGUUGGUGGGGUAAAGGCCUACCAAGGCGACGAUCCAUAGCUGGUCUGAGAGGAUGAUCAGCCACAUUGGGACUGAGACACGGCCCAAACUCCUACGGGAGGCAGCAGUGGGGAAUAUUGGACAAUGGGCGCAAGCCUGAUCCAGCCAUGCCGCGUGAGUGAUGAAGGCCCUAGGGUUGUAAAGCUCUUUCACCGGAGAAGAUAAUGACGGUAUCCGGAGAAGAAGCCCCGGCUAACUUCGUGCCAGCAGCCGCGGUAAUACGAAGGGGGCUAGCGUUGUUCGGAAUUACUGGGCGUAAAGCGCACGUAGGCGGAUCGAUCAGUCAGGGGUGAAAUCCCAGGGCUCAACCCUGGAACUGCCUUUGAUACUGUCGAUCUGGAGUAUGGAAGAGGUGAGUGGAAUUCCGAGUGUAGAGGUGAAAUUCGUAGAUAUUCGGAGGAACACCAGUGGCGAAGGCGGCUCACUGGUCCAUUACUGACGCUGAGGUGCGAAAGCGU
RNAcentral lists this ribosomal RNA (653 nucleotides) under Rhizobium sp. UFLA4-40. RNAcentral describes it as "bacterial SSU rRNA". It matches the Rfam family "Bacterial small subunit ribosomal RNA", at positions 60 to 762 of the family's 1533-position model. Lineage: Bacteria; Pseudomonadati; Pseudomonadota; Alphaproteobacteria; Hyphomicrobiales; Rhizobiaceae. The record is from RNAcentral.